GUUUCAAUUAUGAUUAAUUAUCGUAGUAGAGCUGGAAGCAUUAAUGUACAAGCAAAAUACCCAGAUACUAAUAAAGAACUUUCAAUUAUUAGAGAACCUCAUACUUGCCCCACAUAGACAAAAUCACUUUUUGUUCCAACUCCAUAUCAAUAAGCAAUCUGAUGACAAAAUUACACCUUAUAAUAAACCGCCUAAUAAUUCAUGAGAAGUACAGAAUUGCAAACCUCUAUAUAAGAAUCUCGUCCGAUCCAAGCCAUAAAGAACAUAUAUUAUAACAUUAUAAAAAUUGGUUCUAAAAGACUAGACUUUUAUAGUGAAUGAUUGUUAUAUAGCGAUAAUAUUAUAGAGAGGUCUGACUAUAUUUUCAGCAUAGUUAGUGAAACAAAUAUAUCUCAAUCGAAUAACACAGAAAUCAAAAUCAGAAUAUAUACAAGGCUGAUAUACUGCUCUUUCUUUUGACAAACUAAAGACAGGUUAUCCUGUCAGUGACUACUCAGUGUCCAUCAGGUGAACAAUCUAUUUAGGCCAAAUGAUAUUAAACAAAUCUCCAAAAGGUAAUUCAAACCGAUAGAUCGUUCAAAAAAAAAAAAAAACAAAGACAGCACACUAACAGCAAUAGCAAGAACAAAUCCAUAAUUAUCGCGAUCAUUUCUAAGGCUCACUUCUAAAUCAAUAACUCAAGUAGAAGAUACAUCUUCUGAAUCCUAGGAAAACAGGGGGUAUACAUUCUAUGUUGACUACAAGCGAUAGUUGAGUAUGUCAUUGAGGUCCAGCACCUGAAACGAGGACACUGAGGAAGGAUUGCUGUUGUUUUACUCCCUAGCAGAACCAACUGUUGAACUUCAUCAUUGGUUCAAUUGGCAGAUAAUUGGGGUUGCCUAGCUCAAAACUCAAACACAUAACUAAUAUGUGCACUCAUGGAACAUUCAUAACUUGAAUGGACUGCAGCAUGUCGGAAACAGCAAUGAUGAGGUCACCUGACUUGAUCAUGCCCCGAGCUUUUAGCAAGGAAAAUGUCUUGUUGAGGUUGCUUUCCAUAUCAUCAGAGAAACUCAAGCGGAAAGGCAUUAGACCCCAUUGCAGGUUCAGGCGUCUGCGUACAGACGUUGUCGUUGUAAAUGCAAAUAUUGGGCAGUCAGGACGGCAGCGUGACAAGAGAGAUGCCAUGUGCCCAUUCUUGGUGUAAACAAAAAGUGCAUCAACUUCCAAAUUGUUAGCUGCAAAUCACAACAGAAAUAAGCAUUGGAUCAAACUAAGGAGAAUGUCUUGUUGAGGUUGCUUUCCAUAUCAUCGGAGAAACUCAAGCGGAAAGGCAUUAGACCCCAUUGCAGGUUCAGGCGUCUGCGUACAGAUGUUGUCGUUGUAAAUGCAAAUAUUGGGCAGUCAGGACGGCAGCGUGACAAGAGAGAUGCCAUGUGCCCAUUCUUGGUGUAAACAAAAAGAGCAUCAACUUCCAAAUUGUUAGCUGCAAAUCACAACAGAAAUAAGCAUUGGAUCAAACAGUAAGACUAGAAUAUAAAAGACCAUGAUUCGAAAUCAGGAUAUGUUUUCUUCUCCUGAGUUCAAACUUCCAUCAAUAUGCUCAGAACAAAGUAACUUGCUAUCGUCCCACAAAACUGUAAUGUAAUACUUCUGGAAGAUAUUAAACUUGCUCCCACUCACAUAAAGAAAUAAAAUUCUUACGAGAAUCACUUUCACAUUCAAAUAACAUUUGCCUCUUCCAGCUUGGAAAGAGCGGCUUGGCUUAAUUAAUCUUUCACUUUCUUCUUCUAUUUCUAGAAUGUACUUUCAUGAAGAUGAACAUUGAAAAGCUAAUCCCAUUCAGUAACCUUAAUGACAGUGGUGUCCAAGCUAGCUGGCCCGCACCUCGACUAAUUCCACCGGAUACCUGCUACAUCCCACCAGCACAGGUACCAAGUAACUUUGACCACCAAGGCUUGGGCAGAGUUACCUCUUUCAUUAUUUAAGAUAGGAAAAGAUAGAAUGACCAAAGGAGUACCUGAGUGAUCAGCCCAAAUUCUGUAUUUUCUCAACCAAAAAAAACUACAGCAGGACAAGGCAGUUCGUAUGGAUUGUCCAGAAGGCAGCUUCAUGGAAGGCAAUUAUAUAGA
Molecule: long non-coding RNA, 2111 nt
Filed under: Nicotiana benthamiana
Lineage: Eukaryota; Viridiplantae; Streptophyta; Magnoliopsida; Solanales; Solanaceae
Description: long non-coding RNA (NBEN_LNC027142)
Source: RNAcentral